UGUAGGGGAUGUGUUUACCGCUUUUCUUUCGUAUGCUCAUUAACCCGUGCUCUUAUGCUUGUUGCAACAAACCUCCUUUGCACUUAAUAAUGGGACUAUACUAUACGGUUAGCACAAACACAUUAGAUUGCAGCAAAUUAACAGGUGGAGUGAAGGUGCAGUUAUUACACCACAAGGGUACAAAAACACCUUGUAGCGCUGUUGUCAAACGAUGGGAUAACAUUACAAAACAUUAAUUCCCUUGUUAAAACAAAAGAAGAACUAGCAAAAUGGAAACAGUAGAUAUUGAGGCCCUGAGCUAAUUUUAUUUGCAUUUAAAUGCACAACUUUUUGACAGAUGUGAGCAACACAAACACCUACUGAUGGCAAACAGACAUUCUGAUGCGCUAACUUUGCCAGUCCGGAACCUCGCUUCAUUCAACUUUUCACCAUUUAAAAAAAUGGUGCAUGUUUGUCUUACUUAAAUGUUUCAGAUGACCAAAAAAAUUGAAAUAUUAGUCAAUGAAAACACAACUGAACACAAAAUACAGUUUUUAAAUUAAACUUUUAAUUUCAUGGCACAUGGCACCUUCCGUGGAAUAGUGGUGAACCUACAUCCAUCCAUCCAUCCAUCCAUCCAUCCAUCCAUCCGUCUUCUUCCGCUUAUCUGAGGUCGGGUCGCGGGGCCAGCAGCUUAAGCAGGGAGGCCCAGACUUCCCUCUCUCACUUGCCUCACCUGCCUUGGUUAAUGUCAGUGUUCAUGACUCCACCAUAAGAAAGACACUGGACAAAAACGGCCUGCAUGGCAGAGUUCCAAGACGAAAACCACUGCUGAACAAAAAGAACAUUAAAGCUUGUCCCAAUUUUGCCAAAAAACAUCUUGAUGAUCCCCAAGACCUUUGGGAAAAUACUCUGUGGUCUGACGAAACAAAAGCUGAACUUCUUGUAAGGUGUGUGUCCCAUUACAUCUGCCGUAAAAGUAACGCCGCAUUUCAGAAAAAGAACAUCAUACCAACAGUAAAAUAUGGUGGAGGUAGUGCAAACAUGCAAAAAAAAAAAUCAGGAAGGGGGCACUGUAUAUGGUUUGAUUAAAGUGUGUUUUUCCACCAAUUGGUUUGCAACAGUUUCAUUUCAUCAAAGCAACAAAUUGUGGAAUGGAACAAUAACAGAGCCUGAAAUCUUUGGAUUUCACCGUAUCGGCCAGGGCAACUGUAGUGAAAUCAAGUACCUCACGUUUUCACUGUUACCCUUUGAGAAAUGUGAACUUCUCAAACCCAUUUUGACAAUUCAGUUGAGUUAAGACAUAUUGGCGGGCUGACUUUGAUGGCCCGGGAACCAGGCACUAUCCAUAUAGUGUGAUGAAAGUGGGCUUCUCCACAAUUAAGCUAGCAACUGUUUUGCUCAAUCAAAACAACAAAUAGAGGAAAAGUUUGGCAAAACAACUUAAGGCUCAGAGCUCAACUCUCUAAACACUCAUGGAAUGCAGACAUACAGUAUUGACUUGGAUUUAGCGCUACUAACAAUUAAAUGGCUUUAAAAUGGUGCUCUGAAAAAUGCCCAAGAAAGUGGCACCACCCCCCUCCCAUUAUCUAUGCAGCCUGCAUCCUCUCUAAAUAGUUGUGCAUGACCUUUGCUACAGUAGCUCUAAUUAUUAGCACCACAUAGGCCCCUGUAAGGCACACAGCUAAUUAGAGUGGAUUUAUCUGAGGGGACGUUGCUGCCAUUCAUAGGCAUGACUGCACGGGCUACCAUCAGUGCAGGUGAUUUAAAUUUGGGGAUAAGGUUAAUCUGCGUAACAUGGUAAUGGUAAUUAGAAUACUAAUCAUGGCAAACAUGGUUUUGAUAACAGCACAGGGCAGAUCAGUCACUGGUGGCUUCCUUGUUAACGAGCCGCCAUUGCCGCUAUUGUUUUUUUAUAACUGAUGUUUGACUGCGCUCGUUGAGAGCUACAUCGUUUUAAAAAAAAAGGCAUUGCCCUUUAAUAUAGGACCUCUUGUCAUUGCAUCUCAUAAAGGGUUGUUACUGGAGAAAGCAGUAUUUUUCAAAGCUUCAAGAUGAAUGAAGAGGGGCAUCUGGAGCUAUCUUUUGGCUGGCGGACAACUCGUGUAAUGAGCCUAAGAGGGUUCCAAUUAUUCCACUUGUGAUCAAAAAGGAGAUGGAGAUUACUUCUCUUGCGUCUUUUUUCCUUCCCUCUCUAGCUCUCCCUCGCUGACAUUUUGCACAGUAACAUCUUUUGAUAGGGGCUCGGGGAGAGAAAGAUGAUUACUAGAGAGUGUCUGAUAGUCUUGAAUAGUCAGUGCUGGCCUCCCUGUUAAGACAAAAUAAGAGUUUUUCUGAGCCACAGUCUCUUUUGUGGUUUCCUGUAGGGGCUGGCCAUUGAAGAAAUGUCAUAGAUCAAUGAGCGCAAGAAUGAACAAUCAAUCAUCUAAUGUAUUAGGCUCUAAGCUAAUUGCAUUUGCACAAGCAUUGAAAUGCCGACUGAAACAACUUCAAGGAACUCAUGCUUCAUGUUACUUUUGGAGAAAUAUUGGCAUGCCGACAUACGAUGCAGCAAUGGUUGUGCUAACUUUACCAGCUUGGGGAACCUUGCUCCAUUUGCGAUUAUGUCAUUUUGACUUCAUAUGUUGUGAUGAGUGUGCGCUUUUCCACACUUAAGUGUGCAACUUGAAAAUCAUAACAUUUAAAAUAUGAAAGCGUGGUUUUCCUCAUAUUUUGAGUUUAGCUAGCACUUGAACAUGAAUUGGCCUUUAGUAUCAAAAUGGAAAGGCAACCAAUGCACAACUUUUUCAAAUAUAUGAGCAUUUCAAACAUGUAAAGACACCAGCUGUGAAGAUUCAUGAGUUGGCGGCAUGCACAAACCAACAUGCUAACUUUGCAAGUCACGAGCCUAGCUCCAUUAGCGUUUAAAUUUAGAUUUUAUGUUUGAUGAACGUGAGUAGUCAGCAAUGUAACGUUAAUUGCCUUGUUUAAUCAAAACAACUACUAGUGGAACGGAAUGGCAACAACCCUUGGACCUCAGAGUUAAACCCAUCUGCAUUCAAAUGCAUAGGCCAACUGUAAGAAAUUCUCCCCUCUACAUGUAAAAAAACCCAAAAAAACCACCAUUUAUAGGAUGCAGACAUAUUGACACACUAACUAUUGCCACAGGAAUCUCACUGUAGUCAUUUCCACCAGCCUGUGUUGUAGAUAUUGCAAUAUUCAAGCAAAGCAAGGCAAGUUUAUUUAGAGUGCACAAUUCAUACACAAGGUAAUUUAAAGUGCUUUACAGAAAGGUAAGAAAGAAGGGUAAAAUGACUUCAUAAAAUCAUUCCAUAUAAACGUAAAAUCACUUUAAAAUCAUUUCAAUUCCAUGAAUCAUUCCAUAAAACCAAAACAUUAAUAAUAAUGAAGAGUGCAGAUAAAAUAAUUUGAGUUGUCAAAUGCACAGCUGAAUAGAAGUGUUUUCAGCCUGGAUUUGAGUAUCGUCGCACAUCUUCUGGAAGACUGUUUCAGAUUUUGGAAGCAUAAAACUGAAACGCAGCCUCACCGUGUUUAGUGCUGACUCUGGGCACCCGCAGGAGAUUUUACAGCAAAUAUAUGCUAUUUUUAGUCCAAAAUGGUCACACACUAAGCUGAAUUCGUAACCUACCUCCUGGAUGUGGAUUAUUUGCAGCCUCUGGAGACUUUUGAUGCAUCGUUAAAGCCAUUAGGCCCAAGUAUAGGAAGCCACUGCACAACAUUAGCACAUUGACAUGUUAGAUUAAAGACUACAUAAACGACACAAAUUGCCACGAUUCUACUUUUUUGUUUGAGAUAAACAAUGCUUCUUAGACUCCACGAGCAGCUCUGAUAGUCGAGGCCUGCAAUAUUUUUCUACAGAGCCAUCAGGAGGAAGGCAUGUUGUGUUUGUUGUGUGGGCUGCAGCUGUUUCUCCUCCGCCUAAUAGUGACAGUCAUGUCUCCCCCGCCAGCCCCCACUUGCAAUACAAAAGGGAGUUGAAGCAUUCGAUUGUGUACAGCUUGUUUCCUCCCCAUUUCAUUUAUUAAAUUCACAGAUUACAAGUAAAAGUACAUUAGAAGCCCUGGGGUGACUAAAGAGAUUUCUCCACCAUCGAAUAUCAAACUAUAUCUAGGCCUGGGAGAAAUGGAAUGAUGAAAAACAAAAGAUAAUAUUAUGUACUAUGGCACUGGGACAAAAUACAACUCCUUCCAAUCAGCCAAGAUAAACAUCCAGCCCAGAGAUAUGUUCUUACUAGAUAACGGCUUAGCACACACGCUGACAUACAAACAUGAGCGCAUGGACCGGCGGUUUUGAUAAGCACAGAAAAUUACUACAUGAUGUUUAUGGUGGCGGAACAAAAGGAUUAAAAAGGACUUCAUUUUAAGGAAUCAAAGCUGUAGAAAGGUGUGUGCCGGGUGUAAGAUGCAUUUCAAUUGACUAGAUUAGACUUCAUAAUGGAGACGUAAUUACAGGGAAACACGAUAUGUACACAGCAAAUUGAGGAGUGUUAAUUUUUUGGUGUUGAUGAGAAUCUUGAAGUUGGAGUGUCAAUCUUACACUAUUUGGAGUUGAUCUAACACUGCAUUUUCUUAAAAAUGUUCAAUUUAACACUGGAUCAUGAAAGUGUUGUAGUUCAAAUGGAGUGUUGAAAAUGUUCAAAUCUUGUUAGUGUCACAAUAAAGACAUUCAACACUUCCACACUCCAUUUAACACCUAACAGUGUUCACGUGUCUUAAGCUCCGCCCACGGACAUUUCAUUUAGACUCCACCCCUCACUUCACUUGCUGAUGGAAGAAGUUGAUAAUUAGGAAUCAUUUUGCAUCAGUAGGUAAGUAAACGUUUAAAUAGAUGAACUAAUGAAUUGUGUUGUACCUUGUUUACACAUAAAAAACGUUAGUUUUUGGUGUGAUAUUUAAUACUAAUAAACUGAGGCAGCUGUUUCCACCCAAAGCCUUUGCUAAUGUUAGCUCGUGUUUUUGCUAAGUUAUAUUUUCUAUUUAGUGUUGCUGUGAGCUGAAUCGGCACUGCCUGUGCAACAUUUGGCAAAGUAAGUGAACGCUACGUUAUAUCUUCAUUUUUAAUGAGCUAAUGGCUAACUAGCUAAUUGGCAGGAGGAGCCCCCACAAGUAGGCCUGCUGGCCCCCAGCAAAGGACUUGAUAUGCUGUACAAGAUACAAGAUAUCAAGGUUGGCAACUCUAAUUGUUACUUUAACUUAAAAAUAAUUGUCAGGCAUGUGUUGGAAGUGAACUACACAAUUUUUUUUUUAGAAUGAUGCAUCUUUAUUUUUCUUCUUGAUUCACAGAAAACCUUUCCUUGAGUCUUACGUGAAUGUGGUAAGUAAUAUCUUUUUUUUUUAAUCAAUGCAUAAUAAGCCCUGCAACUGUGGCAAUUCCAUAUUUAUUUAAUUAUUUUAGUAGGAUGUUUUAUAUUAUUAUUAUUAUUAUUAUAUUUAUUCUUAUUCUCAGAGGUGGAUGGAGAUGUGUAGACUCCACUAUCCCUUCACCCCAGUUAUUGCCAGUUGGUGCGAGCCUCCACUCUUGCCGACUACAUCCCAUUCAUUAGGUUCUACAAUUUAUCCUUCAGCCCACAAGAGGAACCCAACAGAACCAAUGGAUCAGGAUGAAGCAUGACGGAAAGUCGGUGGUGUUUUGAGGGCCAAUCUGAAAGGUGAGGAAAUCUUCAAGGAGUGCAACAAGACUGAAACACUAACCGAUGCAAGGUGUAAACAGAUGGUGAACAUCCUGGCUGCAGAUAUGAUGGAGCUGCAUGGGAGGGUUCCGCCAUCAUGUGUGAUGAGAAAUUACGCCCUGAGAAUUGUGACUUGUUUUCCAUACCUAAAAGAUCCAUUCUCCAAACCUGGAUAUGCAAGUGUCUUUUCAAUGUAAAACCUAAAGUACUGUUUUUGUUUUUCCUUUAGGUGUGUAGUUUGUAUUAAACUCUUGUUUCAAAUAUGUUCAUAGGAUGCUUAGCUUAGCGGCAGUGGCUCAAGAGGUAGAGCAGGUCGUCCAGAAAUCGUAAGGUUGGUUGAUCCUUGCUCCCUCCACCCAGUCACUGUUUUGUCCUACACUUCUCCUGGCUCUCAAAGCCGUUCCAAGACUGUUUCUUCAUGAUGGUCCAAAAACCAGAGGAGAACAUCUGUUAACUGGUCAACAGCUGCUUGGUGAGGAGUGCAAGGAGGCGCUAUCUACAGUAAGACAUUCAAAUGAUGAAUCCGUGGUCGAAGAAGAUGAGAGCAACUUUCCAGUAUCGACAGAAUAUGAUCCAAGCACAAGAUGUAUCAUCGUCUGUUCUCAAUGUGUUCCCUCACUUCCUUGAUGUUCCUGGAUUGGUAAGGAAAUCUUGAGUAUUUGGACUAGUUCCGUAUUAGAUUACCCAUUACAUCAACCAUUUGUAAACCUGUAGGCCUACAGUAUAUGAAAUAUUCAUGUCUUGUUUAUAGAUUGACCAGGAUUUCUCAAUGAUGUUUGGUGAUGAAGUAUCUCAGAGGUUCCUGGCUAAGUGGUCAACUGUCUUCAAACCAAAAGUCAUUGCAGACUUUAAGACUCUCCCGCAAAAGCAGAACAUCGAUGAGUUGCUGUCAGGAACUGAACCUCAACCUGAUGACAUAUGUACUGGAUGUAGCUUUGAUCUACCUGUGUUCAAGAAGAUCUGUGAUAUAAUAAAACACAAAGAAUGUGCUUUCAUAAUAGCCUGUAAUGUAAAAAAACUAUGUACUAUGAGGACCUGUUUAACGCGUACUGCAUAGAAGACCAAAUGCUUGAGUUUUCUGUCAUGUGUUUAAAUGAACUGACUCAUUUCAGACCAUUUGACAAGCAGUACUCUAAUGACAAUUGUCAAAAAGCAAACAUACUGUAGUGCCCUGCUGUUAUUUAAGCUGUCUGUUGGAAAUGAAAUGUUUUGGAAUAAAAUGUAUGAAGCAGUCAACUAGUCAUUUUUAAAAAAUGUUUAAAUUUUAUUUUGAAGUAGUAGAUUAACACCUUUAUAGUGUUAAUGUUGCAACUCCUUUUGAGAGUAAAAUGACACUAUAAGAGUCAAUAAAUGACUCUUAAGAGAAUUAAUUUGUGACACCUCACACUAGUGUUAAAAAAAUGCAACACCGGUUGGUGUCAAGGAGUGUUAAAUUUUAACUAUAUAAAUAGUUAAUAUUGACUCUACAAUGGUGUAAAAAUGGCUACACUUUCAAAAGUGUUAAAAUAACACUUUGUAGAGUGGACCCCAUGGGACACUUUGAAAGUGUUGAGAUUAACUCCUACAGUGUCAAUUUAGGCCUGCUGAAUUUGCUGUGUACAGUAUUUGCGUGUAUGAGGCUUAGGAAUACAGCACCUCGGCUUCCUGUGGAUGCACAGCAGGGGUAGGGAUGCAAUGUGUGUCGCUGUUUUUCGUGACCCCUAAAAGUCUGCCCAAACACAAAUUCAGUUAAAUGAAAUCCGUUCAGCUAAUCCCCCAUCACGCCCACUUCCAGUGAGUGGGUCAAGCCCACUUCAUCUGGCCUCUCUCUCUCUCUGGCAUGCUGCUAGGUUCCCAGUCCCCAAUGGAGACAACAGAGGGCCCUGCUCCAGUUUUUACUCCCACUGUGUGGUUGUGUAUGUCAACACUUGUUUCACUGCAGAUGGCUUAUUCCCCACCUUAUUCUCCCCCCUGCUUUACGCUUUGGUAAUGGAUUAUAAACCGUCACACAGCACUGGAUGUUAUUCCGAUGUGAGAGCACCCGAUCUUGUUAAGAAGCUGGAUUUACAGAUGUGCACGCAGCUAAUACUUUUCUGACAGCUGCCUAGUAACAAAUCAUCCCCUCAUAGAUGACCACCAGAUGUACAUCUCAUAGCAGCAAAAAAGAUCACAAAUCAUCUCUACCUGCUUGUCGGGGUCGCUCAUGGGCGUGGCUUUGCUGGGGUACUAUCUAAAACGUCCAUCUGUUUAAUAAAACCCUGCUUUGAUACAGCAGUUGGCACCAUUGCUCAUGAUUUCCUAGAGACUUAGCUUCCUUGCAAAGAAAGCUAUGCAAGUGUGAUUUUCUACUAUUUGGUGUUUCAUUUACCGUAAUUUCCAGUGUAUAAACCACUACUUUUUUUCUUAAACUUUAAUCCUGCAUCUUAUACAGCGAUGUAGCGAAUUUAUAAUUUGUUUUCUUCUGUACUUGAGAACCACCACUAAGCAUUUAAAUUCAAUGCUGCUCACGAGCCAAGCAAACAAACGGUAGCUCUUUCUUUAGCAGAAGCCAAUCACAAGUUGCAUUGUAAUUCCCAGCAACCUUGUCAACCUGUUGGAAAUCGCAGAAGGUUAUUACUCAAUAUAACAGUCUGACUGGUGGUGUUAAUUUACAAAGGAAGCUAAAAUAAUCACACAGCAACCAAAUUCAAAAAAACAUAUUAUAACAUAAAUAUAGCAUAAUAACAUUCAAAUAACAAUGCAUUAUUAAAUUAAAAUAACAAAGAAAAGCAAUUCUAACUUCUACCCACAAUGCAUCACUGCAAGCAGAGAUGUCCAUUGGCCAAAGGUUGCCUGCUGUCGGGCGCCAGACCACCUUGGGCCAAAGAACGACUCCCGCUUGCAGUGAUGCAUUGUGUGUAGAAGUUGAAAUAGCUUUUGCUCGUUAUUUUUACUCAAUAAUUGGUUAUUUUAAUGUUAUUAUGUUAGGCUAUGUUCACACUGCAGGUUAAUUCCGAUUUUUUUGCUCAUAUGUGACCUGUAUCUGAUUUUUCAUGUCAUUGUGAACAGCACAAUUCCAAUUUUUUUCAAAUGCCACUCAGGCCUUGUUCGUAUGUGGAUAUAAAUUUGAUAUGUAUGAGAUGCGACUGCAGUAUGAACGGUCGGUCGCAUAUAUCGACAAGGACCUCGCACACUGCCGUAAUCUUUACUUUUGUAAGCACGCAGAAAUGUGUGUGAUGUCGUGCUUUUGUGCAUGCACGUCACUUACCGGACGCUUUGCGUUGACAUGGACAAGUCGCAUUUUUUUCCUGUGAUUUACAAUGGGUUGACAUGCUCGUUAUGAGUUUCCACAAAGUUCAUAAAUUGACGCCUGUCAGAUAAAGAACAACUGAACCUGGUCCUCAUGCACUCCUGCCCACUAUAGUUUAAGACCUGCAGAUGUACAACUUAUAGUCCAGUGCGUCUUAUACACGAACAAAUCUGAUUUUCUCUCUAAAUUUGGUGGGUGCGUCUUAUACACCGGAAAUUACGGUAAUCAAAAGAACAAACGGUAGAAUGGAAUGCUAACAGAGCUCGAGGCUCCAAGCUAAACCUCUUUUCAUUCCAAUGCACAAGCCAACUGCUGUGAAUUACCUCGCGUGUUACUUUUUGACGAGCAUUUCAAACCCUCUUUGAAGAUUCUAAAGUUGAGACAGACGCAUCGACGCUCUAACUUUGGCAGCCAGGGGAACCGAGCUCCAUUCACAUAGUGUGAUGAAACACAGGGUAGAUAGCAAAUCAACAUGAAUUGCUUUGUUUAAUUCAUCAUUGCGGAGCGGAAUGGCAACAAAGUUAAGGGCCAGACCUAAACUUCUUAGAAACCUCUAAAAAAUGCAGAUUCAAAAGCAGAAGGGAUGUAGACAUACUGACGCCUUAACUAUUCACUUUCUGCCAGCCUGCAAUAUUUACUACAGGUAUACACCAUUUUUAGUCCGAAAUUAUCCCACACUAACCGUUAUUUGUUAAUUUACUCAUGGGUUUGGGUUAUUUGCAGAAGGAGAUAAUUCAUCUACUAUGAUACAGAGGUUGGCACUCGCAUUUUGAGCUUUGAUUUUGUUUUUUUUUUUAGACAUUAGCUGUGUUUUAGCAGCUGCCAUGCAACAAAAUUGCACAUGCACCUGCAUAGAUGCCCUUUAAAAGGACCCUCCAUGUAGUGUAAACAUCGUUUGUUUGCGCGUGUGGCCCGGGGUGGUGGGAUUAAUGAACGCUGAUGAAGUUCCACUCACAUCCCAGUUGCUGCCAUCUUUAUUUGCCGGAGGCUGUGACUCAUUCCCUAUACCCAGUGUCAGAUUAAGGCAUGUCAAUAAAGAGACCCACUCAAUCCAUCUCCCAGCAACUCUCCCCUCGUGUGUGCCUCCGUGGUCUGUAAUGAGCUGCUGAAUAUCUACAUGCCGCUAAAGUGUCUGAGAAGAUGCCUUGCCACUGUGAGCGAGGACAGGGGGUUCAGAGACAGAGAGAGAUGGGCACCCGCCGUUACACUAAAUGACAUUUGUGGCGACCCGUUUGGGUUGUGGUCAAAAUGCUUUGGAAGACAGGCUUGCAUACAUGUAAUACAGAUAUCCUCAAAGUUUUAUUAUCAUUAGACAAAUGCUCAAUCACUUGAGGACAAUUAGUGGCUAAUUGCCCCUGCAAAGACGUUUUGCUUGAUGGCAGUUCUUCAACCAAUCUUGCUCAAAUUUUACACAAAUGUACUUGUCAAACAAGGUGUGUAAGACAUUUAGUGGUGAUUUGGCUCAACACCCUAAAGUGAGAGUGGGUCUUUUGUAGUCCAGCGCAUUGAGCUGUGUGAGAAAUUUCAAGUCAAUCCCACUCCCGCUGGUUUAGUAAUAGUAUUUUGCACAUAGGGAUUUUUCCACCUUUUUCCAGGUCCCAAAUCUAUGUUAACAGCACUGACACAGAAUGAGGAGCCAUAACAGAGGCGGGAAGGUGUCUGUGUGCAAGGGGUAUGGUGUUUUAUACCCAGACACUAACUUUAACCACUCUGUUGUGUUUAAAGCAGUUGUCGCAUCGGAUAAUCUAAUUGCAGGAUGCAUUGUUGCUGUGUGAAAGUGUACACAAAUCAUUGGCAAUAUCCCCCUUCAGUGGAUUCUGUGUGAAAGGCAAUGGUGGAUAAAUGCCGGCUUGUCCGUGACAGCUGUGAUGUGGCUAUUCAGUCAUGGUAAUGGUAAUGGUUUAAUUGACACGUUUGCACUUGCACAACUCAGUAUGUCUGAAAAGGAGUAGGAAGAAGCACAGCUUAGUUAAUCCUACCCCUUCCCCAUUUUGCAGGCUGUCCUUGUAAAAGAGGCUUCUAAUUGGAGUCAUGUUUCAAAAUAAGUAAAAGUUGUGGUGUUUACUCAGUGGCCACAUGUUUACAUAAUAUAGUCCUUCUGAAUGUGUGUUUGUAA
Dunckerocampus dactyliophorus (ringed pipefish) is the source of this 11031-nucleotide long non-coding RNA. RefSeq lists it as uncharacterized. NCBI's taxonomy places the organism in Eukaryota, Metazoa, Chordata, Actinopteri, Syngnathiformes, Syngnathidae. The record is from RefSeq and is a predicted model, not a curated record. The transcript has 3 exons.